Molecule: long non-coding RNA, 1453 nt
Filed under: Astyanax mexicanus (Mexican tetra)
Lineage: Eukaryota; Metazoa; Chordata; Actinopteri; Characiformes; Acestrorhamphidae
Description: lncRNA (ENSAMXG00005007674.1)
Source: RNAcentral
AAUUAUCAGGGGUGCCCAAACUUUUUCAUAUCACUGUAUAUUCUAUAUAUAUUAUUCACAUGCAGUACAUUUAUAAUAUGCUCUUCAAUAUUGUUCAGUGUAUGUUCCAAAAACAGUCCAGUUGAAUCGUGACCUUUGGGACCUUGUGUGUUCCUUGUGUGUGUAUGAGCAAGAUGUUUAUGUCCCAGUUAAUAAAGAGGCCGAGGCCUAUUGCUCAUGAAUUUGGUAUUCAGAAGUGCUAUCGGUGCAUUGUUAACUCUUAUGCAAGGUAGAUUAGUAGGGGAGUAGCUUAUGACCAGGCUGUCCAGGAGGCCCCAGGAUUACGGGCACAGAUAUAUUGGACGGUCGGAGCAGAACUCCUCACUCUCAGCGCUCCUCACCAACCUCUCGCUCAGUCCCACCAUUCUGCUGCUCCAGCUCCUUCGCCUGCCCGGAAGUCAUGCUGCAUCCAGUCAUGCUUGGCAUUGUGACGGUCAACACCCUGAUCACUGUGGUGGAGUGGACCUGGAUGAUGAACGAGGUCAUGAAGGACGAGGAAACUCCAGAGAAUGCAGUUGCUCCGGCAUAAUCAUGUGCUGCCAGGGGGCCUGCAGCCAGGGCGAGGAGGUGUUAGACCUGCUGAUGGAGGAACCUAGCUGUAGGAGAAAUUCUCUCGUAUCAACACUGCUGCUUGUAGACCAGCGCCAGCUCCAACAGGACGGAGUGUGUAAUGGCUUACGAUUGGGUCCUUGGUCCUAAAGGUGAUCUGGAGGAUGCAGAACGAGGCUCUGGUGGAGGAGGAGGUGGAGGAGAAGAUGAUGAUGACGAUGAGGAGAGUGUUGAUAAUGACGGUCAUGAUGAAGGGAGGAGGAUGAGUGAGGUUUUGCAGGCCCCAGGUUUUCCCCGGGCAGGAGCCAGGUUUCUUCCAGGGUUACAGAGAUGUGCCAGCGUCUCCUACCCCUGCACCAACCACGGCGGCCGGCCUGGCGUCUCCAAACAGCAGAGAGGGUCCUGUCCUUCUGAAAUACCCAUCUCCAUACCCAUCCCCAUACCACACGUUACGUCCAUCUGAGUUUAAACACAAAUAUGAAGCACAAAUUCUUUUUUUACUACUAUUAUUUUACAUUUGAAUACAUUUUAAUAUUACUAAAAUGGGUUUAAAGGUACAAUAAGUGGCAUCUUUGGUCAUGUAUAGUAUUGUAUUGAUCCUGAUUAGCUAAAUGGCUAGGCAUUUUCUGACUGACCACUAAUAUUGAAGGUACAAUAUGUAGUUUUUCUACAUAUAUAUAAAAAAUUAACCAACAAUUAAAAUUACUGAAUCUUACAACAUUAGAAGCCAUGAAGUCUGUGCAACCUCAUUAAAAUGUAUCCUAAAGCAACUAGAAAAAUAUUACAUAUUGCACCUUUAAAGAAAGGGAUUUGUCAGCCAGCAGCCUGCCAGGGAUUAUUUGAUUUUUGUACGUUCUUGUACUAC